UGCCUUCAGAAAUUUGGACACUUCGAACUUCCUGGAGCUGAUGAAUAGCUUGAAGAAGGUGCCGGUUUCACAACAUUCUCGAAGUCAAAAAUCGGCCAUCCUGUGGUUCUGUCACCCUAGUGCGUCCAGAACCUGGCCUUCUAUGGUAGGACCCAGUUUCUCGAAAACGUCUAACAGCGUCUCGCAGAGUUUCUUAUGAACUAGCCGCAGACCUGGUGGAACAUCCAUCAUCAAUAAAUGCCAUACCACGCACAACAUCCUCAGAACUAAAUGGCACUGUUUACGCCGAUCGACCUUUUGAACCCUUCUGGAGGUCUCCGGCCCGUCGGCGAGUCAGUUGUUGCCUAGAGCCAAAGCCGAAAACAUCGUUAUCGUACCUGCUUAUCUAAACCCGUGUUGUGCGCAAUUGAUGGUUUCCAAUUGCCCUGGUCCCUUAAGAGUUCGGUACCAAACGUCUGAAUCCGCCGGAGACUGUGGGGCCCUACCUAGUCGAAGAAAGAAGAGGACAACUGUUGCCGAACUGCUUGAUCCCGUAGCGAGACACGUUGGGGUAAGUGCAAACUCGAAUGUAUCCCAAUCCCCUCCUCGGAUUCACUCUUUCCCAUUUAUUUUAAUUUAUAAACUUAUUUACCCAUUAAUAUACAGUCCACUUAACGAACAUAAAAUUUGGUCCUCCGGGCCGGAUAAAAUUGUGUAAAAAAAGAGUGAAUAAGAGGGGACCGUGGAAGGGUCCGGACAUUUGCAAUUUCAGUACCUGAAUCUGCAGGCAGCCUUACCUCAUUCGUGAUCAUCACCUGGACCACUUGUGUCUUGCCGGUUCCGGGUGGGGGCUUCUGGAGGUCAAGGGAGCGAAGUUACAGGUACAACAAGAAGUCACCAGAAGACGAGUGUAAAUCAUUGAGUGUAAAUCAUUCUACAACAGGAAGGGUUCUUCUGCGCUUCAGAGGAACAGGGCUACACACUAGAAGGCCAGGACAGGGUCGAUUCAUCCGUCAUCAGGCUCUACAAAACCACAGCAUUACGCAUGACCUCCUGCGGCCAGAUGUUGAGAUAGGCCCGGCCGUGUCAAUUAUGACGUCGAGAUGACAGCUGAGGGGGUGUGAACAGGCCGACUGCGUCCAUCUGUUUCAGCAGCCCACCCAAGGAAACCAGCAAUACACUUCAGACUUAAACUAUUUCCCAAAUCGCAUA
Long non-coding RNA from Cimex lectularius (bed bug), 1191 nucleotides. RefSeq lists it as uncharacterized. The record is from RefSeq and is a predicted model, not a curated record. NCBI's taxonomy places the organism in Eukaryota, Metazoa, Arthropoda, Insecta, Hemiptera, Cimicidae. The transcript has 3 exons.